This 197-nucleotide ribosomal RNA is filed under the name uncultured bacterium. Its description in RNAcentral is "partial 16S ribosomal RNA". It matches the Rfam family "Bacterial small subunit ribosomal RNA", at positions 329 to 539 of the family's 1533-position model. The record is from RNAcentral.
AGCUCGACACCUACGGGGGGCAGCAGUCGGGAAUAUUGCGCAAUGGAGGAAACUCUGACGCAGUGACGCCGCGUAUAGGAAGAAGGUUUUCGGAUUGUAAACUAUUGUCGUUAGGGAAGAAAAAGGACAGUACCUAAGGAGGAAGCUCCGGCUAACUACGUGCCACAGCCGCGGUAAUCUGAGCGGGCUGGCAAGGC